Long non-coding RNA from Homo sapiens (human), 325 nucleotides. RefSeq lists it as uncharacterized. The record is from RefSeq and is a predicted model, not a curated record. The transcript is spliced from 3 exons. NCBI's taxonomy places the organism in Eukaryota, Metazoa, Chordata, Mammalia, Primates, Hominidae.
CAAUUCAGGUCUGUUGGUUGAUCCGGGUGACCAUGAACGGAGACAGACAGUUAUGAAAGCCCCAAAGUUAAGGAGAAAAACGGUUAUCCAAAAUUAAGCCAUGGACGAACUGCAUUUCCCAUCUUUGCAGCUUGAAUGAAACAAAUCAUGAGAUUCAGCUGAAGAACAUCUCCUACUGAGAAGCCUCUCCUGAUGGACUCUUCCCCAAUUCCUGAUUUUUUCCAUUCCUCUCUCCAUAACAGAGAGGCUCCUCCUCCAUGCUGCCAUGGUCACCUUGUUAACAUCCAUCAGUGGACACCAUAAAACAACGUAUUUUUGAAAACUU